RNAcentral lists this ribosomal RNA (474 nucleotides) under uncultured bacterium. RNAcentral describes it as "bacterial SSU rRNA". It matches the Rfam family "Bacterial small subunit ribosomal RNA", at positions 8 to 474 of the family's 1533-position model. The record is from RNAcentral.
AGAGUUUGAUCAUGGCUCAGAUUGAACGCUGGCGGCAUGCUUAAUACAUGCAAGUCGAACGGUAACAGAUUCUUCGGAAUGCUGACGAGUGGCGGACGGGUGAGUAAUACAUAGGAAUCUGCCCAUGUAGUGGGAGACAACUUGGGGAAACUCAAGCUAAUACCGCAUAAUUCCUACGGGAUAAAGAGGGCCACUGCUUGCAAGCUCUUGCUACUGGAUGAGCCUAUGUCGGAUUAGUUAGUUGGUAAGGUAAUGGCUUACCAAGACAGCGAUCCGUAGCUGGUUUGAGAGGAUGAUCAGCCACACUGGGACUGAGACACGGCCCAGACUCCUACGGGAGGCAGCAGUAGGGAGUAUUGGACAAUGGGCGCAAGCCUGAUCCAGCAAUGCCGCGUGUGUGAAGAAGGCCUGCGGGUUGUAAAGCACUUUCAAUUGGGAAGAAAGAUUAUGAGUUAAUACCUUAUAAUAUUGACG